Molecule: non-coding RNA, 22 nt
Filed under: Arabidopsis thaliana (thale cress)
Lineage: Eukaryota; Viridiplantae; Streptophyta; Magnoliopsida; Brassicales; Brassicaceae
Source: RNAcentral
AACGAUUGCGACGGCGAUGGCA